RNAcentral lists this long non-coding RNA (472 nucleotides) under Capsicum annuum. RNAcentral's name for it is "long non-coding RNA (CANN_LNC020293)". Lineage: Eukaryota; Viridiplantae; Streptophyta; Magnoliopsida; Solanales; Solanaceae. The record is from RNAcentral.
GGCCGCUUCAAAUGUGAGUUUUUAACCUGUUAUUCUUCUUUUGAUUCCUUGUAUCCGUGUAUUAUGAGAUUGUCUCCUUAGGGACUUAAAAAUCUACUCAUGAGGCUUUGAAAAUAAUAUCCAAUCAUAUGAAAAUAUUGUUACUUCGUUAUCCCACAAAAUAAUUCACUGCAAAUAAUGAAGCUUUGAUGCCGAUGAGGAUGAAAAAACAUUGCCACAGGUGAUUUUGAACAUGAACUACAAUGGAUAGAAAAACUAGCCAACAUUCUGACAAACCAUAUAUUGAAAAGUAACGCUUUCUUCUUCAUUGAUAGGUGCAGGCAAAUGAAUAAAGCCAUGAAUCAACUAACAAAAUUGACUUAUUAACUGGACUUGGAUUUCAAAUACCUUUUUUAGUUUUCAGCUUCAGACGAAUAUUUAAAUCGAUCCUAAAGAUUAAUAAAGAUUAACAAAGAGAUCAUGUUAUUGAAAU